UACGGAGGGGGCAAGCGUUAUCCGGAAUUACUGGGUUUAAAGGGUGCGUAGGCGGCUUAGUAAGUCAGGGGUGAAAGGUCACGGCUCAACCGUGGAAUUGCCUUUGAUACUGCUGAGCUUGAAUCAGGAUGAGGUUGGCAGAAUGUGGCAUGUAGCGGUGAAAUGCAUAGAUAUGCCAUAGAACACCGAUUGCGAAGGCAGCUGGCUAGACCUUGAUUGACGCUGAGGCACGAAAGCGUGGGGAGCGAACAGG
RNAcentral lists this ribosomal RNA (253 nucleotides) under uncultured bacterium. Its description in RNAcentral is "partial 16S ribosomal RNA". It matches the Rfam family "Bacterial small subunit ribosomal RNA", at positions 524 to 776 of the family's 1533-position model. The record is from RNAcentral.